RNAcentral lists this long non-coding RNA (1909 nucleotides) under Physcomitrium patens. RNAcentral's name for it is "long non-coding RNA (PPAT_LNC005449)". Lineage: Eukaryota; Viridiplantae; Streptophyta; Bryopsida; Funariales; Funariaceae. The record is from RNAcentral.
UUGGAUGGAGGGAAUAUAAGUCAAAUAGAAUAAAAGGUGUCCAAAAAUCUCUGCUUUUUAUUAAAACUCAUUUGAUUGUCGCUGGAUGAUUGAAGAAGACAGGUGCAUUUAAAUAGGGAAUAUUAACAAAGCUGGAUAUGUCAUUAAGAAUGAUUGAUGAUGGUUUGGGAGUUUGGUGAUGUUUUGAAGAGCUUUGGAGUAUUAAAGAGUUUAAAAAGAGAGAAGAAAUGCAUUAAAUGAUUUUUAUAUAUAGUAAAUGUCUUAAUAACAAACUUUAUUGUUGGUUUUAUUUUGAAAUAAUGAUUAAAUCACUGUUUCCAGAGACCCCAAUAUAAUUUUUCCUAAAUCUUCAUUACAACAGUUCAACAAUCCAUCAAAGUUUUUCAUUUCAUGUUUUAAGAAGCUAAAAAUUAGGUUUAGCAAGGGUGAAAUUUAUAGACAACAACAAUUUGAAGGAUCAAAUUGCAACAUUUAUGAAGUUUUAAACUUUAAAUGAGAUAUAUGACCUCAUUUUAGAGUCUAUUCACAAAAAUCAUGUACACAACUCAAUGUGCAAAGGAAGAAAAAAAAAAUAUAUAUAUAUAUAUAUGUAAGAAAGAGACCUUUCAUUUUGACUUGUAAUAAAUGAUACAGACUUUGGGUACCUAUUGUAACUUUAAAUGUCUGCUUGGUAAGUUUUGCAAAUACAUGCAAAGAGUUUCACAUUGCAGUAAGUCUUUGUGCAAAGGAUUUGUCAGAAAAAAUUCAGAAAUUUUCAAUCAUCUCAACCCAUAACAAUCAGUUAUUGUGAUUUUAUCAAUAUAUAUAUAUAUAUAUAUAUAUAUAUAUUAUGAGACUUUAUAUUUAAAAGCUUAAGCGCAUGUGUAUUUAGUGCAGUUCUUUAGUAUUUUAAGGUCAUUUUACACCAUAUAGUAUUUUUUGACAAAUUCAUUAUUUGAAUUUUCUACAUGUGUUAGAAAUAAGUUGUCAGUUUAUUAAUUGUGAUAUGUUCUUUUCCUUUUGAUGUUAUUUGCAGCCUUUUUGUUAAUCAAUACCAAAAUGGCAUAAAAUUAACAAAAAAAUGUAGCUUUACUUACAUAAACUUAUAUUAUUGAUUCUCUCUCUUUCUACAUAUACAUAUAUAUAUAUAUAUAUAUAUGAUUAAAGUAAAAUUUAGUGAAGUUCCUCUCAAGCAAUACCUAAAUGUCAAAAACUUUUUGCUCUACCAAUUGAAUUAUCAAAUUUCAUAAUGAUUAUACUGCUUACAAUUUAAGCAUAUUUCAAGACCACAAAAUUGAUAGAAAUAUUGAAAUUACAAUCUACUAGUUAUUAUUUUUUGUUUCUGUGGAUGUAUACUCUUCUUUUCUACUACUUGAUUUUCUUGUAGCCACAAGUAAUCUCCUUUCUCGUAAAAUAGCCCACUCCUUCUUAUUUAUUAAUAUAUCCUAAUAAGUAUAUUUAGCUUGGGUUGAGUCAUUUGCAUUUAUUAUUCUUAAAACCAUAAGCUAAAACAUCAUGUUGUGGGCAAGCAAAAGGAGGUCAAGAUUAUAGCUUGAAAGAGACUUGAAUUCUACAUCAUGAGACCAACAGUAAAAUUCCAAUACAGAAUUUAUCAAAGAAUAUGACUUGCUAGAAGCAAAAAAAAUGGAAGGCAUAGCCUAAUUUGUGAAGAAUAUCAAAUAUAGGGUUUCAAACAUGGCAUUUUUGCAAAAACAAAUAAUUGGGAUUCAGUACUUGAUAUUUCAAAUCCAAAAUAUCAUUGUUUAAACUUUAUUACCCCAUAGUAUAGAGUCAAAGAAGGAAGAGAGCUGAGAUAAGCAAUGCAGUUUUUGAUAUUUGACCUACCCCUCAUUUGAUAUUUUGAUUUCAAAAUCACCCAUCUCACAAGGUGGAUGAUUUGGUGAAAUAUCAAAUAAUAUUUGUGUUGAGU